Molecule: transfer RNA, 89 nt
Filed under: Streptomyces flavofungini
Lineage: Bacteria; Bacillati; Actinomycetota; Actinomycetes; Kitasatosporales; Streptomycetaceae
Description: tRNA-Arg
Source: RNAcentral
GGCGGCGGAAGCAGUGGCUGCGGCCCGCGCUCGUCGCGGGCGCGGUGGCCGCCGCCGUCGCGGCGGGUGUCCUGGUCGCCUCGCCGUUC